Molecule: ribosomal RNA, 483 nt
Filed under: uncultured bacterium
Lineage: Bacteria
Description: bacterial SSU rRNA
Rfam family: Bacterial small subunit ribosomal RNA
Source: RNAcentral
AAUCAACGCUGGCGGCGUGCCUAACACAUGCAAGUCGAACGCGAAAGCCCCGCAAGGGGUGAGUAGAGUGGCAAACGGGUGAGUAACACGUGGGUGAUCUGCCUCAGAGUGGGGAAUAACGACCCGAAAGGGUCGCUAAUACCGCAUAACAUCCUGCCUUUGGAUAGGUGGCGAUCAAAGUUGGGGAUCCGCAAGGACCUGACGCUUAGAGAGGAGCCCGCGGCCGAUUAGCAGUUGGUGAGGUAACGGCUCACCAAGGCAACGAUCGGUAUCCGGCCUGAGAGGGCGGACGGACACACUGGGACUGAGACACGGCCCAGACUCCUACGGGAGGCAGCAGUGGGGAAUUGUUCGCAAUGGGCGCAAGCCUGACGACGCAACGCCGCGUGGAGGACGAAGAUUUUCGGAUCGUAAACUCCUUUCGAUCGGGAANAACAGCUCAUAGGUUAAUAGCCUGAGAGUCUGACGGUACCGAGAGAAGAA